CCAGACGGUCGGAUGGUCGCCUUUCGAGCCUAACCGCUCGGGGGGAGGAAAGUCCGGGCUCCACGGAGACACGGUGCCGGAUAACACCCGGCGGGGGCGACCCCAGGGAGAGUGCCACAGAAAGCAAACCGCCAGCCUUGGCCCGGCAACGGGUCACCCGGCAACGGGAGGCAGGUAAGGGUGAAAGGGUGCGGUAAGAGCGCACCGCGCGACCGGCAACGGAAGCGGCACGGUAAACCCCACCAGGAGCAAGUCCAAGUAGGGGCAGCAGCCGGUUCGACCGGCAGGCGGGUUUUCGCGCCGUUGCCCGGGUCGGACGCACGAGGCACUCGGUAACGGGUGUCCCAGAUGAAUGACCAUCCCCUGCCCUCCCUUAAAAGAGACGCAGGGACAGAACCCGGCUUACAGACCGUCUGGCACU
RNAcentral lists this RNase P RNA (421 nucleotides) under Rhodospirillaceae bacterium. RNAcentral describes it as "RNase P RNA component class A". It matches the Rfam family "Bacterial RNase P class A". Rfam says of the family: Ribonuclease P (RNase P) is a ubiquitous endoribonuclease, found in archaea, bacteria and eukarya as well as chloroplasts and mitochondria. Its best characterised activity is the generation of mature 5'-ends of tRNAs by cleaving the 5'-leader elements of precursor-tRNAs. Lineage: Bacteria; Pseudomonadati; Pseudomonadota; Alphaproteobacteria; Rhodospirillales; Rhodospirillaceae. The record is from RNAcentral.